AACGCGAAGAACCUUACCCAGGCUUGACAUGCCCGUGCACCAGGGGUAACGCCCUGUCCGCGCAAGCGGCGCGGGCACAGGUGCUGCAUGGCUGUCGUCAGCUCGUGCCGUGAGGUGUUGGGUUAAGUCCCCUAACGAGCGCAACCCCCGGGGUCGGUUACAGUUUGUCCGGCCCGACUGCCGCGCGCAACGCGGAGGAAGGUGGGGAUGACGUCAAGUCAGCACGGCCCUUACGCCUGGGGCGACACACACGCUACAAUGGCCGGUGCAGCGGGAGGCGAGGCGGCGACGCGGAGCCAAGCCCACAAUGCCGGUCUCAGUUCGGAUCGCAGGCUGCAACUCGCCUGCGUGAAGCCGGAGUUGCUAGUAACCGCGGGUCAGCACACCGCGGUGAAUACGUUCCCGGGCCUUGUACACACCGGUAUCUC
RNAcentral lists this ribosomal RNA (428 nucleotides) under uncultured bacterium. RNAcentral's name for it is "bacterial SSU rRNA". It matches the Rfam family "Bacterial small subunit ribosomal RNA", at positions 958 to 1400 of the family's 1533-position model. The record is from RNAcentral.